Molecule: unclassified non-coding RNA, 179 nt
Filed under: uncultured Candida
Lineage: Eukaryota; Fungi; Ascomycota; Saccharomycetes; Saccharomycetales
Description: sequence contains ITS1
Source: RNAcentral
GAGAACCAAGAGAUCCGUUGUUGAAAGUUUUGACUAUUAGUAAUAAUCUGGUGUGACAAGUUGAUAAAAAAUUGGUUGUAAGUUUAGACCUCUGGCGGCAGGCUGGGCCCACCGCCAAAGCAAGUUUGUUUCAAAGAAAAACACAUGUGGWGCAWUUAAGCAAAUCAKUWAUGAUCCUU